GGGGUUGUGGCUCAGUGGUAGAGCGCUCACCUUGCACGUGAGAGACCCUGGGUUUGAUCCUCAGCAUCACAU
Non-coding RNA from Ictidomys tridecemlineatus (thirteen-lined ground squirrel), 72 nucleotides. Lineage: Eukaryota; Metazoa; Chordata; Mammalia; Rodentia; Sciuridae. The record is from Rfam.